This 231-nucleotide long non-coding RNA is filed under the name Gossypium barbadense (sea-island cotton). Its description in RNAcentral is "long non-coding RNA (GBAR_LNC005335)". The record is from RNAcentral. Lineage: Eukaryota; Viridiplantae; Streptophyta; Magnoliopsida; Malvales; Malvaceae.
GCAGUAUUACUUGAUCUCGUAUUCUAUACUGGAUUUUGUUCAGCUAAUUCAGGGCAUUCACGAACAAAAUGAUCCAUCGAUCCAUAUUUAAAACAGGCUCGAUCAUGCAAUCUACAACUUCUAGGAUGUCAUUUACCGCAAUGUUUACACUCAAGUUGAUUAGAUCUAGCAUUACCAACAGUAACUACUAAGGUAGCUCUCGAGUUCACAGGUGGUCUAUCCCGAUCCCGU